Long non-coding RNA from Medicago truncatula (barrel medic), 438 nucleotides. RefSeq lists it as uncharacterized. The transcript is spliced from 3 exons. The record is from RefSeq and is a predicted model, not a curated record. NCBI's taxonomy places the organism in Eukaryota, Viridiplantae, Streptophyta, Magnoliopsida, Fabales, Fabaceae.
ACAAGCUUCUUCCUCUACCUCUUAUCUUCUCUUUCGUUUUCGAUUUUCUCUCUGCUCUUCUCCUCUCUCAAUAGCUGCUUUUCUUCAUCCUCAUCACCUACAGUUUCGGCGCUUCACCGAAAACCACCGCGAUAACAGUGAGUUGAGAGUGAUCAUACCUUGAAGAGAAUCUCACAUCAAAUGUGGAUAUCGGAAUCAUCUGCACUUCGAUUCGUGGUUUAUACGACACGCACCGUCGCGGCUAGGAGAGGUGGACUUCGUAACUAUGGUUAAUUGAGGUUAUGUUUUGAAAGGUUUGGUUUGUGGUUUAUUGAAUCCAUCAAGGUGAGUGUGAUAAUAAUGUAACUUUAAAUGUAUUAAUGUAAAUUCAAUUGUAUUAUAGAACAUAUUUAACAUUAGAUCUAUAAUGUAGUAUACUUUAUUCUUAUUCUUAUAUAU